CUGCAGUCGUACGAGAGUUUUUACUCAAGUGGCGGACGGGUGAGUAACACGCUAUAAUUUGCCUUUAGGAGGGGGAUAACAACUGGAAGCGGUUGCUAAUACCCCAUAUGCUUUCGAGUGAAAUGGUUUUUCCGCCUAAAGAGAAGCUUGCGGCUGAUUAGCUUGUUGGUGAGGUAAUAGCUCACCAAGGCGACGAUCAGUAUCUGGUUUGAGAGGACGAUCAGACACACUGGAACUGAGACACGGUCCAGACUCCUACGGGAGGCAGCAGUAGGGAAUUUUCCGCAAUGGGCGAAAGCCUGACGGAGCAAUACCGCGUGAGGGAUGACGGCCUAUGGGUUGUAAACCUCUUUUUUCAGGGAGGAAUAAAUGACGUGUACCUGAAGAAUAAGCAUCGGCUAACUCCGUGCCAGCAGCCGCGGUAAGACGGAGGAUGCAAGUGUUAUCCGGAAUCACUGGGCGUAAAGCGUCUGUAGGUGGUCCAAUAAGUCAACUGUUAAAUCUUGAGGCUCAACCUCAAAACCGCAGUCGAAACUAUUAGA
RNAcentral lists this ribosomal RNA (542 nucleotides) under uncultured bacterium. RNAcentral's name for it is "bacterial SSU rRNA". It matches the Rfam family "Bacterial small subunit ribosomal RNA", at positions 55 to 640 of the family's 1533-position model. The record is from RNAcentral.